This 253-nucleotide ribosomal RNA is filed under the name uncultured bacterium. RNAcentral describes it as "partial 16S ribosomal RNA". It matches the Rfam family "Bacterial small subunit ribosomal RNA", at positions 524 to 776 of the family's 1533-position model. The record is from RNAcentral.
UACGUAGGGUGCGAGCGUUAAUCGGAAUUACUGGGCGUAAAGCGUGCGUAGGCGGCUUUGCAAGACAGAUGUGAAAUCCCCGGGCUUAACCUGGGAAUGGCAUUUGGGACUGCAAGGCUGGAGUUUGGCAGAGGAGACUGGAAUUCCCGGUGUAGCAGUGAAAUGCGUAGAUAUCGGGAGGAAUACCGAUGGCGAAGGCAGGUCUCUGGGCUAUAACUGACGCUCAUGCACGAAAGCGUGGGGAGCAAACAGG